CUGCUGACUUGGGCAGCAAAGACACUGAAAUUGGAACGAUACAGAGAUUAGUAUGGCCCCAUGCAAGGAUGACAUGUAAAUUCAUGAAGCGUUCCAUAUUUUA
This is a small nuclear RNA of Canis lupus familiaris (dog), 103 nucleotides long. NCBI's taxonomy places the organism in Eukaryota, Metazoa, Chordata, Mammalia, Carnivora, Canidae. The record is from RefSeq and is a predicted model, not a curated record.